Molecule: long non-coding RNA, 660 nt
Organism: Astatotilapia calliptera (eastern happy)
Lineage: Eukaryota; Metazoa; Chordata; Actinopteri; Cichliformes; Cichlidae
Source: Ensembl
GAAAAUCCAAGGUCACAGAGCAAAGCUUUGAGCUGAAUUUCACUCUGACAGGCACAAAGGAUCCACAGGGCUGUGCGCCAGUCCAGGACCUCAGGAUAUCUCCUCCACCGUGCAGCAGCAGGAACCUCUCUAACCUCAGAAAAGCAUCUACUCAGAGCAGCUUCCAAACCACAUACUUUAUCCAGACGCUGUGGCAUUAAAAUCAAUUUCAGGAGUCAAGAGAGCGAAACCAGUGAAUUCUGAGUGAACACUGUUUAGACUGUUUGUGUAAGAAUGUGUUAACCACCUCAUCUCCAUGCACACUAUGAGAAAUGACCUAGGACGUCUUGUGUUUUCUCCCAUUUGACUUGUGGCUAAGUUGAUGAACUCAGAUAUCUACCAAGUAACCUUAUAGCAUGCUUUAGUGAUGUGGAACAGUCCUCAGACAUUUUUUUUAAAUUAAUUCAAUAAAAUUUGAGACUUUACUAGUGUGUGACCUUUUAUCUUAACUUAACCAGCCAAUACUUGGACAUUUUCUGGUGUAUCUUUGCCAAAUUACAAAUCCUGAUUCAGUUUGAUGGCAUGAAAGGUCAGAGAAAAUUUCAGCCUCUUAUCUUUUCAUAGUCUUUUAGUUAUUCCUGCUGAACAAUAAAAAAAGACCUGAAAGCAGGUUGAUGGACC